RNAcentral lists this ribosomal RNA (525 nucleotides) under uncultured bacterium. RNAcentral describes it as "bacterial SSU rRNA". It matches the Rfam family "Bacterial small subunit ribosomal RNA", at positions 8 to 524 of the family's 1533-position model. The record is from RNAcentral.
AGAGUUUGAUCCUGGCUCAGAUUGAACGCUGGCGGCAGGCCUAACACAUGCAAGUCGAGCGGAAACGAUCCUAGCUUGCUAGGAGGCGUCGAGCGGCGGACGGGUGAGUAACGCGUGAGAAUCUACCCAUGAGUGGGGGACAACCCGGGGAAACUCGGGCUAAUACCGCAUACGCCCUACGGGGUAAAGCAGGGGACCUUCGGGCCUUGCGCUGAUGGAUGAGCUCGCGUCGGAUUAGCUUGUUGGUGAGGUAAAGGCUCACCAAGGCGACGAUCCGUAGCUGGUCUGAGAGGAUGAUCAGCCACACCGGGACUGAGACACGGCCCGGACUCCUACGGGAGGCAGCAGUGGGGAAUCUUGGACAAUGGGGGCAACCCUGAUCCAGCCAUGCCGCGUGUGUGAAGAAGGCCUUCGGGUUGUAAAGCACUUUCAGCAGGGAGGAAGGCUUACCCCUAAUACGGGUGAGUACUUGACGUUACCUGCAGAAGAAGCACCGGCUAAUUUCGUGCCAGCAGCCGCGGUAAU